UAAGUUCAUAAAAGUCUAAAACACAACACAAUAUCAUUGUAGAUCCUUCAAUCAAAAACAUUUUCUUCUCCAAAUAUAAAACGUUACAUCUUUGUCAAUCUAUAAUGAUACACAUUUGAAGUUAUAUCAAAUUUAAAGGUGAGUUAGUAGCGUCUUUUGGCUGACGAUCUACUUCAUGAAGCGCAAGGUUUGAUAGCUUUUGUAGAUUUUCUCCGUUGUAUACAUUGUACUAGGGAGAUGCGAUUGAAGCUUCUACAUAUUCAACAAAUAAAAGCACAACAACGGCCCUAAAUUAUCAAGAGCGCCACGUAUUUUAUGUUUACCAUAACUUAUUCUACCUUAACUAUGCAUCAGGAGAAGUGUGUCCCUACAGCUAAAAUGUGUUGAUUGAACACAUAGCAUGAUUGUCAAAAUUUGUUUGUUAAAAGAUUUCAAAUCAUUUGAAUGCCGCUUUGGCUUUCCCUCCUUGAUCACUAGGAAAUGAUGUUUCUUGCUAAGAACCAUUCUUAUGGCUAGCUAUGUUGAUUGUCUGAUAAUUGUAAUUAGAUGGAUUGGUUGUAUAUGGCCUUUUAAAUGCUGAUUAAAUUUGAGCCAUUAGCAUA
Erigeron canadensis is the source of this 602-nucleotide long non-coding RNA. RefSeq lists it as uncharacterized. NCBI's taxonomy places the organism in Eukaryota, Viridiplantae, Streptophyta, Magnoliopsida, Asterales, Asteraceae. The record is from RefSeq and is a predicted model, not a curated record. The transcript is spliced from 3 exons.